GCAGCCGCGGUAAUUCCAGCUCCAAUAGCGUAUAUUAAAGUUGUUGCAGUUAAAAAGCUCGUAGUUGAAUUUCGGGGUUAGUAGGUUGGUCAUGCCUCCGGUAUGUACUGAUCUCACUGAUUCCUCCUUCCUUAUGAACCGUAAUGCCAUUAAUUUGGUGUUGCGGGGAAUUUGGACUGUUACUUUGAAAAAAUUAGAGUGUUUAAAGCAGGCUAACGCUUGAAUACAUUAGCAUGGAAUAAUGAAAUAGGACGUUCGAUCUUAUUUUGUUGGUUUCUAGGAUUGACGUAAUGAUUAAUAGGGAUAGUUGGGGGCAUUAGUAUUCAAUUGUCAGAGGUGAAAUUCUUGGAUUUAUUGAAGACUAACUACUGCGAAAGCAUUUGCCAAGGAUGUUUUCAUUAAUCAAGAACGAAAGUUAGGGGAUCGAAGACGAUCAGAUACCGUCGUAGUCUUAACCAUAAACUAUGCCGACUAGGGAUCGGAUGAUGUUAAUUUUUUAAUGACUCAUUCGGCGCCUUACG
This 521-nucleotide unclassified non-coding RNA is filed under the name uncultured Glomeromycotina. RNAcentral's name for it is "SSU rRNA". It matches the Rfam family "Eukaryotic small subunit ribosomal RNA", at positions 570 to 1092 of the family's 1831-position model. Lineage: Eukaryota; Fungi; Glomeromycota. The record is from RNAcentral.